This 1077-nucleotide ribosomal RNA is filed under the name Triticum aestivum (bread wheat). Its description in RNAcentral is "partial small subunit ribosomal RNA". The record is from RNAcentral. Lineage: Eukaryota; Viridiplantae; Streptophyta; Magnoliopsida; Poales; Poaceae.
CCAUCCCCGCCGCCACACUCCACCUUUGUCGUCUCCCACCUCGGGAUCUCCUCUUUCCCCAAUCCAUGGAUCCACCCAACCAGAGCUCUCCUGCCUCCACGAAUACGAGUGCCCGUGCCCCUGCCGCCCUAGCAGCAGCAGCAACAACCUCGCGCAAUCCCCUACCUCGUCCUUGCGCUGCCCCCAGGAACCAACCGAGGAAAGAGCCUCGCGCUCGUGUGCGGGCACGAACAUGAGCUUCUGCGCCCGCGCCUCGAUCCCGCCGCCUCCCCCUCAACCGGACGACGGCGCCGGCGACCAGCUCCCCCAGGCCGGCCUCGCCUCCCUUCUCUUCCUGUCCCCUUCCUCCCUUGGUUCCUCUUCUCUUUCUCACUCUAGUAUCUCCCGCCCUCUCUGUUCUUCGCAGGAGUAUGCCAUGGAAGCUGCAAGGAGCUCCAGCCCGCCGGCCACCAUCUCCAGUCAGAUCCGUCUGGUCCCGGCCAUCUUCGUCGACCGCCGGCCAUCCCUGCCCGCCUUGCGCGUCGCUGUCGUCGCCUUCGUACCGCAGCCCAAGCGCUGCUCCGCGCCGCGCUGCCUCCUUCUGUCGGGAGCAGACAAAGGAAGCUGCCCCUGCCCGUUGACUUCCCACGCCGGCAUGUGCGCAAGGGCCGCAAGGCUAGGGGCGCCCAGCUCCUUCCGCUCACCCAGCCAACCAAGGGCCAGCAUCGCCAUGGCCGCCGGCCUCUGUUUUCCCGCUCUUCGGUUUCUUUCCGGAGUUGUGAGGAUUCGUUCGACUACGUCCGUUUGUCUUCUUCAUGGACUCGUUCUUCUUCCUUGCGGGAUCUCAGUUGCAGGUGCCGAUGAGACCAGUGCAGGUGACGCAACUGAGCUCAAGUGGGAGCUCGAUGAAGAUCUCCUCCGUUGUGUUGUUUCUUUUCUUGUUGAUCAGUAGUGGAGCCCAGUUGGGACGAUCAGGGAUCUAGCAGUUGGGUUGUCUUCUUUUCUUUUGGUUCCGUAGUCAGACCUAUGUGUGUAUCUUGAAUGAUGUAUGAUUUAAUUAUGUAUUGUGUGAAGUGGCGAUUGUAAGCCAACUCUUUA